AAAGUCGUAACAAGGUCUCCGUUGGUGAACCAGCGGAGGGAUCAUUACAGAGUGUAAAAACUCCCAAACCCACUGUGAACCUACCACUGUUGCUUCGGCGGACCCGCCCCGGGCGCCUCCCCUCAGGGGGUGGUGCCCCGGACCCAGGCGGCCGCCGGGGGCCCAAACCUCUGUAUUUUAUACGAGUAUUCUCUGAGUGUGAUUGACUAAAUCAAAUCAAAACUUUCAACAACGGAUCUCUUGGCUCUG
This 249-nucleotide unclassified non-coding RNA is filed under the name Ascomycota sp. RNAcentral describes it as "partial contains small subunit ribosomal RNA, internal transcribed spacer 1, and 5.8S ribosomal RNA". The stretch from base 1 to 47 matches the Rfam family "Eukaryotic small subunit ribosomal RNA", at positions 1785 to 1831 of the family's 1831-position model. The record is from RNAcentral. Lineage: Eukaryota; Fungi; Ascomycota.